UACGAAGGGGGCUAGCGUUGUUCGGAUUCAUUGGGCGUAAAGGGUGCGUAGGCGGUGUCGUAAGUCGGAUGUGAAAUCCCGGGGCUUAACUUCGGAACUGCAUUCGAUACUGCGAUACUCGAGGACUCGAGAGGAGAUUGGAAUUCACGGUGUAGCAGUGAAAUGCGUAGAUAUCAGGAGGAACACCGGUGGCGAAGGCGGCUUUCUGGACAGAUACCGACGCUGAGGCACGAAAGCUAGGGGAGCAAACAGG
Molecule: ribosomal RNA, 253 nt
Filed under: uncultured bacterium
Lineage: Bacteria
Description: partial 16S ribosomal RNA
Rfam family: Bacterial small subunit ribosomal RNA
Source: RNAcentral